CGCCAGACUCCUACGGGAGGCAGCAGUGGGGAAUAUUGCACAAUGGGCGAAAGCCUGAUGCAGCGACGCCGCGUGAGUGAAGAAGUAUUUCGGUAUGUAAAGCUCUAUCAGCAGGGAAGAAGUUGACGGUACCUGAGUAAGAAGCCCCGGCUAACUACGUGCCAGCAGCCGCGGUAAUACGUAGGGGGCAAGCGUUAUCCGGAUUUACUGGGUGUAAAGGGAGCGUAGACGGCAGUGCAAGUCUGAAGUGAAAGCCCCGGGCUUAACCCGGGAACUGCUUUGGAAACUGUACGGCUGGAGUGCUGGAGAGGUAAGCGGAAUUCCUAGUGUAGCGGUGAAAUGCGUAGAUAUUAGGAGGAACACCAGUGGCGAAGGCGGCUUACUGGACAGUAACUGACGUUGAGGCUCGAAAGCGUGGGGAGCAAACAGGAUUAGAUACCCGAGUA
This 446-nucleotide ribosomal RNA is filed under the name uncultured bacterium. Its description in RNAcentral is "bacterial SSU rRNA". It matches the Rfam family "Bacterial small subunit ribosomal RNA", at positions 329 to 792 of the family's 1533-position model. The record is from RNAcentral.